UGACGCGUGGUGCAAUGGCAGCACGGCGGAUUUUGGUUCCGCAAAUCCAGGUUCGAGCCCUGGCGCGUCAGC
This 72-nucleotide transfer RNA is filed under the name Nocardia macrotermitis. Its description in RNAcentral is "tRNA-Gln". It matches the Rfam family "tRNA". Rfam says of the family: Transfer RNA (tRNA) molecules are approximately 80 nucleotides in length. Their secondary structure includes four short double-helical elements and three loops (D, anti-codon, and T loops). Lineage: Bacteria; Bacillati; Actinomycetota; Actinomycetes; Mycobacteriales; Nocardiaceae. The record is from RNAcentral.